Molecule: unclassified non-coding RNA, 328 nt
Filed under: soil metagenome
Description: partial contains 5.8S ribosomal RNA, internal transcribed spacer 2, and large subunit ribosomal RNA
Rfam family: 5.8S ribosomal RNA (bases 3-119)
Source: RNAcentral
GAGAAGAACGUAGCGAAAUGCGAUAAGUAAUGUGAAUUGCAGAAUUCAGUGAAUCAUCGAAUCUUUGAACGCACAUUGCGCCCCCUGGUAUUCCGGGGGGCAUGCCUGUCCGAGCGUCAUUACAACCCUCAAGCUCAGCUUGGUAUUGGGCCCCGCCGCUCCGGCGGGCCCUAAAGUCAGUGGCGGUGCCGUCCGGCUCCGAGCGUAGUAAUUCUUCUCGCUCUGGAGGUCCGGUCGUGUGCUCGCCAGCAACCCCCAAUUUUUUUCAGGUUGACCUCGGAUCAGGUAGGGAUACCCGCUGAACUUAAGCAUAUCAAUAAGCGGAGGA